Molecule: ribosomal RNA, 414 nt
Filed under: uncultured microorganism
Description: bacterial SSU rRNA
Rfam family: Archaeal small subunit ribosomal RNA
Source: RNAcentral
CAGCCGCCGCGGUAAUACCGGCGGCCCGAGUGGCGGUCACUUUUUUUGGGCUUAAAGCGUCCGUAGCCGGGUUGGGAAGUCCUCCGGGAAAUCUGGCCGCUUAACGGUCAGAAUGCCGGAGGAUACUCCCAGCCUAGGGAGCGGGGGAGGCCGAGGGGAUUCCCGGAGUAGGGGGGAAAUCCUAUAAUCCCGGGAGGACCCCCUGUGGCGAAGGCGCUCGGCUGGAACGCGUCCGACGGUGAGGGACGAAGGCCAGGGGAGCAAACCGGAUUAUAUACCCGGGUAGUCCUGGCUGUAAACGAUGCGGACUUUGUGUCGGACAAGCUAUGAGCUUGUCCGGUGCCGGAGGGAAACCGUUAAGUCCGCCGCCUGGGGAGUACGGCCGCAAGGCUGAAACUUAAAGGAAUUGGCGGG